Molecule: ribosomal RNA, 413 nt
Filed under: uncultured bacterium
Lineage: Bacteria
Description: bacterial SSU rRNA
Rfam family: Bacterial small subunit ribosomal RNA
Source: RNAcentral
UGGGGAAUAUUGCACAAUGGGGAAGCCCUGAUGCAGCGACGCCGCGUGAGCGAUGAAGUAUUUCGGUAUGUAAACUUCUAUCAGCAGGGAAGAAAAUGACGGUACCUGACUAAGAAGCCCCGGCUAACUACGUGCCAGCAGCCGCGGUAAUACGUAGGGGGCAAGCGUUAUCCGGAUUUACUGGGUGUAAAGGGAGCGUAGACGGAGCAGCAAGUCUGAUGUGAAAGGCAGGGGCUCAACCCCUGACUGCAUUGGAAACUGUUAGGCUGGAAUGCAGGAGAGGUAAGUGGAAUUCCUAGUGUAGCGGUGAAAUGCGUAGAUAUUAGGAGGAACACCAGUGGCGAAGGCGGCUUACUGGACGGUAACUGACGUUGAGGCUCGAAAGCGUGGGGAGCAAACAGGAUUAGAUACCC